This 344-nucleotide ribosomal RNA is filed under the name uncultured bacterium. RNAcentral's name for it is "bacterial SSU rRNA". It matches the Rfam family "Bacterial small subunit ribosomal RNA", at positions 132 to 507 of the family's 1533-position model. The record is from RNAcentral.
UUGAAUGGGGGACGAACCGUGGGAAACUACGGCUAAUACCGCAUGAUGCCUGAGGGCCAAAGACGAAAGUCGUUUGAGGAGGAGCCUGCGUCUGAUUAGGUAGUUGGUGGGGUAAAGGCCUACCAAGCCUGCGAUCAGUAGCUGGUCUGAGAGGAUGAUCAGCCACAUUGGGACUGAGACACGGCCCAAACUCCUACGGGAGGCAGCAGUGGGGAAUAUUGGACAAUGGGCGAAAGCCUGAUCCAGCAAUGCCGCGUGUGUGAAGAAGGUCUUCGGAUUGUAAAGCACUUUUGGCAGGGACGAUGAUGACGGUACCUGCAGAAUAAGCCCCGGCUAACUUCGUG